UUGGCCUACGGGACGCAGCAGUGGGGAAUAUUGCACAAUGGGGGGAACCCUGAUGCAGCGACGCCGCGUGAGUGAAGAAGUAUUUCGGUAUGUAAAGCUCUGUCAGCAGGGAAGAAGAAAGACGGUACCUGACCAAGAAGCCCCGGCUAACUACGUGCCAGCAGCCGCGGUAAUACGUAGGGGGCAAGCGUUAUCCGGAUUUACUGGGUGUAAAGGGAGCGUAGGCGGUAAUGCAAGUCAGAAGUGAAAGCCCGGGGCUCAACUCCGGGACUGCUUUUGAAACUGUGUUACUAGAUUGCAGGAGG
This 305-nucleotide ribosomal RNA is filed under the name uncultured bacterium. RNAcentral describes it as "bacterial SSU rRNA". It matches the Rfam family "Bacterial small subunit ribosomal RNA", at positions 334 to 655 of the family's 1533-position model. The record is from RNAcentral.